CUCUUGACAUCCAGAGAACUUUCCAGAGAUGGAUGGGUGCCUUCGGGAACUCUGAGACAGGUGCUGCAUGGCUGUCGUCAGCUCGUGUUGUGAAAUGUUGGGUUAAGUCCGCAACGAGCGCAACCCCUAUCCUUUGUUGCCAGCGAUUCGGUCGGGAACUCAAAGGAGACUGCCGGUGAUAAACCGGAGGAAGGUGGGGAUGACGUCAAGUCAUCAUGGCCCUUACGAGUAGGGCUACACACGUGCUACAAUGGCGUAUACAAAGAGAAGCGACCUCGCGAGAGCAAGCGGACCUCAUAAAGUACGUCGUAGUCCGGAUUGGAGUCUGCAACUCGACUCCAUGAAGUCGGAAUCGCUAGUAAUCGUAGAUCAGAAUGCUACGGUGAAUACGUUCCCGGGCCUUGUACACACCGCCCGUCACACCAUGGGAGUGGGUUGCAAAAGAAGUAGAUAGCUUAACCUUCGGGAGGGCGUUUACCACUUUGUGAUUCAUGACUGGGGUGAAGUCGUAACAAGGUAGGCGUAGCGAG
Molecule: ribosomal RNA, 530 nt
Filed under: uncultured bacterium
Lineage: Bacteria
Description: bacterial SSU rRNA
Rfam family: Bacterial small subunit ribosomal RNA
Source: RNAcentral